AUGAUUAUAUCACAUUUUCCAAAAUGUGUGGCAGUUUUUGCCCUCCUUGCUCUGAGUGUUGGUGCACUGGACACUUUUAUUGCUGCAGUAUAUGAGCAUGCGGUGAUAUUACCAAACAGAACAGAAACACCUGUUUCAAAAGAAGAAGCUUUGCUCCUGAUGAACAAGAACAUAGAUGUUUUGGAGAAAGCAGUUAAGCUGGCAGCGAAGCAGGGUGCACAUAUCAUUGUGACCCCAGAAGAUGGAAUCUAUGGUUGGAUCUUCACCAGGGAGAGCAUUUACCCCUAUCUAGAGGAUAUACCAGACCCUGGAGUGAACUGGAUUCCAUGUAGAGACCCCUGGAGGGAGUGGAAUCUACGCCCCAGAAGCAGUCAAGGUGUACCACUAUGACAUGGAAACAGAGAGUGGUCAGCUGUUGCUAUCAGAACUGAAGUCUCGGCCCCGCCGUGAGCCCACCUACCCUGCAGCUGUUGACUGGCAUGCGUAUGCCAGCAGUGUCAAGCCAUUUUCCUCUGAACAGUCAGAUUUUCUGGGGAUGAUUUAUUUUGAUGAGUUUACCUUCACCAAGCUUAAGAGAAAUACAGGAAAUUACACAGCUUGCCAGAAAGAUCUGUGUUGUCACUUAACUUACAAGAUGUCUGAGAAGCGAACAGACGAGAUCUAUGCCCUAGGUGCUUUUGAUGGACUGCACACAGUAGAAGGCCAAUAUUACUUACAGAUAUGUGCAUUACUGAAGUGUCAAACCACUGACCUGGAAACGUGUGGAGAACCUGUGGGGUCAGCUUUUACCAAGUUUGAAGACUUCUCCCUCAGUGGCACAUUUGGAACGCGUUAUGUUUUCCCACAGAUCAUUCUAAGUGGGAGUCAGCUUGCCCCUGAAAGACAUUAUGAGGUAGGAGGUGUGCAGGAUGAUAAAUUCCUUUGAGCAGAGUAGAUGGGUAGAGCAGCAUAAUGAAAAUCUUUGAAAUAAUGAGAGUAUAGCAAUAUCGUGGUUCACAUUCUACAAGAAACACCUUAAAUAUGUGGAAACUAUGAUAUGGAAUAUAAAUUGUGGUUUUAGAUUGCCAUUAGGCUGUGAUGGAGAAUUUGGGGUUCAUUUUUUUAACAUAAAUGUGAUGUUGAUAUUCAAGGCAACAGGAAAUUCACAGAGAAGCUAAAAUAAAAAUGUUGACUGCUGAUAAUGGCAAUAAUGUUGUCAUUUGCAUGGUGUAGAAGGUGCAAAUUAAAUACAUUAAAUAAUGCAUCUACAACUUAUUUUCUGGGUAUACUAUUUUGAGAAGUUGUUAUAAUUAUAGUAAUAACUAAUAUUUUGUAUAGUGUUUCAUGAGUUUGAAGAACAUAUUUUUAUACAUAUUAUUUGACCACCUGUGCAACAAAUUUGUUGGCUGCACUUUCGCACAAAGUCCCUCUACUUUCAGACUUGAAACAUGAACCUGGGUCUUCCAACACCAAAUCCUGUGUGAUUUUUACCAUUCUACACUGCUUUAGGAGGGAGUGAUCUUGCCUGAGAAGGGCUCUAGGUUGUAACCUAAACUCUGCACUGAAGUUAACCCUUUGCUUUCUUUGACCAGAUUUCAAGAGAUGGACGCUUGAGGAGCCGAAGUGGAGCCCCUUUGCCUGUCUUAGUUAUGGCCCUGUAUGGAAGAGUGUUUGAGAAGGACCCUCCACGCUUAGGGCAGGGAUCUGGGAAAUUCCAGUGA
Molecule: long non-coding RNA, 1700 nt
Organism: Homo sapiens (human)
Lineage: Eukaryota; Metazoa; Chordata; Mammalia; Primates; Hominidae
Gene: VNN3P
Product: vanin 3, pseudogene
Source: Ensembl